CCAAGUUCUUUCUCGUUUCAAAUCAGCUCCUUUAAUUUCAUCCAUCUUCUUCUCAUUUCAGGCAAUUUCCUUUCCUCGGUCAAAGAUUGUUUUAUUUCACUAAUGCAUUCCAUGGGACGGAUGAGCAAGUCUUCAAGUCUCCUCUCAUCAACUACCAGGAUCAGGAUGUGUGCUAUUCGUGUGGUUCAUGGGAAGAACCAAGGAACACACCCGCUUAUAUGAUGUAAUCAAGUAUGGGCAUAAAUAGCCCUCAACAAAGAUGUCAAUCAAGGACUCCCUGAGGAAGACCCAGACGGGUCGACACGCGUUGGAGGAAAAAACACUAUACUUUCAGUUCAAAAACCAGUGCCCAUACACAACACAGUGGUGCUCUAUAACAACUUCUAUACGAAAUACACCACGGACAUAGGAGGUAUUACGGAGGAAGAUCGAGUCACGUGGCCGAGAGGUGCAAGACCAGUGAGCAGAGUACCGAUCAACAGCCGCAAAGAAGACCGAGCGAAGCAGUGGAAGCGAACGUCGGGAUUCAAGCACAGGAGAUAAGGUAACAGCUCCGUAAGAGGGGGGGUUCACGGCGGACAGUCCCCUUGUGGGUCCCGAAGCCAGUGCUACCUUCCCCCCAGAGACGUGACCGCAUCCCUCGGACCCGGCGGGCGGUGGACGUCUGUGGAUGCAGGCGCUUCCCGCCGUCCGUGGCAGAGGUGACAAGCGGUAAGUCCGGAGCAAAUAGUUAACUUAUCCCCUGGUCACCUUGUCCCUCCGCUAUCCAGUCAGGGGUACCCCUUAGUGUUGUUACCGCGACCGGACCAGAACCUGCCUCUGAAAAGAGGAGAACUUUUAACAUCUGUAACGGGCUCCCCAACCCCAAGUUCCAAUUCAUUAUUAGAGCUUCCAUUCCAACUGUGUUGUAUCAUUCCACUUAGUACAGAACCACAUCAGUGUGAUUAAAGAGGUGGGACGCCACACUCUAUUUACACUAGACUUUGGACUCAGAAUUUUCAUUUGACCUACC
This is a long non-coding RNA of Pseudophryne corroboree (corroboree frog), 1012 nucleotides long. RefSeq lists it as uncharacterized. The transcript has 3 exons. The record is from RefSeq and is a predicted model, not a curated record. Lineage: Eukaryota; Metazoa; Chordata; Amphibia; Anura; Myobatrachidae.